Molecule: ribosomal RNA, 638 nt
Filed under: Paratinospora sagittata
Lineage: Eukaryota; Viridiplantae; Streptophyta; Magnoliopsida; Ranunculales; Menispermaceae
Description: eukaryotic LSU rRNA
Rfam family: 5.8S ribosomal RNA (bases 249-404)
Source: RNAcentral
AAGUCGUAACAAGGUUUCCGUAGGUGAACCUGCGGAAGGAUCAUUGUCGAAUCCUGCACAGCAGAACGACCCGCGAACCGUUGAAUUGUGCCCUUUCGAACGAGUGUCGGGCGACCCAUGUGGCCCCGACGCCUCGUUCAGAACUAAAAACCCCGGCGCGGCUUGCGCCAAGGAAAUUCGGAACGGAAAGUACGGGUCAGGGCGAGCUCAUCGUCCUGAUUGCGUCGAUUUUCCAAUAAGUCUUGAACGACUCUCGGCAACGGAUAUCUCGGCUCUCGCAUCGAUGAAGAACGUAGCGAAAUGCGAUACUUGGUGUGAAUUGCAGAAUCCCGUGAACCAUCGAGUUUUUGAACGCAAGUUGCGCCCGAGGCCACCCGGUCGAGGGCACGUCUGCCUGGGCGUCACACAAACGCCACUCCCAUCCCUCGCAGGAGUGCGGAUGAGAGCGAACGCUGGCCCCCCGCGACCCAGUUCGCGGUCGGCUGAAAUAGCUCGCCCUCUCGUGGCUUCACGACACGAUCAAUGGUGGUUGACGAUAACCCUUCGCCGCGAUCGAACGACGUGAUCGGAAGCACGGGGCGAACGAACCCUUUACCACAUGCGACCUCAGGUCAGGCGGGGCCACCCGCUGAGUUUAA